This 482-nucleotide ribosomal RNA is filed under the name uncultured organism. RNAcentral's name for it is "bacterial SSU rRNA". It matches the Rfam family "Bacterial small subunit ribosomal RNA", at positions 28 to 507 of the family's 1533-position model. The record is from RNAcentral.
GAUGAACGCUGGCGGCGUGCCUAAUACAUGCAAGUCGAACGCUUCACAUAUGUGAAGAGUGGCGAACGGGUGAGUAAUACAUAAGUAACCUGGCCUUUACAGGGGGAUAACUGUUGGAAACGAUAGCUAAGACCGCAUAGGUGUGAUAACCGCAUGGAGAUGACAUGAAAUAUGCUACGGCAUAGGUAGAGGAUGGACUUAUGGCGCAUUAGCUAGUUGGAGGGGUAACGGCCCACCAAGGCGACGAUGCGUAGCCGACCUGAGAGGGUGACCGGCCACACUGGGACUGAGACACGGCCCAGACUCCUACGGGAGGCAGCAGUAGGGAAUUUUCGGCAAUGGGGGAAACCCUGACCGAGCAACGCCGCGUGAAGGAAGAAGUAAUUCGUUAUGUAAACUUCUGUCAUAGAGGAAGAACGGUGCGUGUAGGGAAUGACAUGCAAGUGACGGUACUCUAUAAGAAAGCCACGGCUAACUACGUG